RNAcentral lists this long non-coding RNA (1855 nucleotides) under Jatropha curcas. Its description in RNAcentral is "long non-coding RNA (JCUR_LNC001859)". The record is from RNAcentral. Lineage: Eukaryota; Viridiplantae; Streptophyta; Magnoliopsida; Malpighiales; Euphorbiaceae.
UUCAUUCUUUUCAGAUUUUAUUUCCUAUCUUAUUUUAGCUAAUCUAUCUUGUCCGCCACAUACAGCCUCCAUGGAAAAAAAAAAGGUCAUAUCAUGAUACUUGCUCUUUUAAUGGCACAGGUGGGAAAUAUGAUCUUUUGGUUCAUUUUCUGCAUUCUUGGUCAACCCAUGUGUGUGCUAUUGUAUUAUCAUGACCUAAUGAAUCGGAAAGGCAAUGCUGAAUUAAGAUGAAACCGACCGACUUGUGCUUUAUAUAUAGGAUUUACCAGAGAUGGGUUUGCUUCCAACAUUUUGUGCAUGAGAGAAAAUGUUACAAGCAAUUUUGGCUAUGCGGGGACUAGUCCCCUGUUGUACUACUGGAUUUUAAUCGUUAAUCAUUAGAGUAAAACUGUAAAUGUAUAAUGCUCAAUCUGUGUAUGCUCUCUUUUCUAUGCAUCAGCAAUCCCCUUUCUGCCCUAUAUUUCAUUUUUGUCAUUUUAUUAUUAGUUUGCCGUCGGUUGUAAUAUUCAGGAAUUAUUUAAAGCUCCUUCCUUGUAUUCUCAAUUUUUCUUUUGAGGGACAUUUCCUACAAAGGAUCGGUUAUAACUUAUUCUCAUAGAUUGACUUCAUAGAUUUGUUUUCAACAAAUUAUUAUAUUAAUAUGUUAAUAUAUUUUUUUGAAAAUAAUAUUAAUUAAUAAAUUUGAUUAAUUAUUUUACUUUGACAAGAUUUAUUCAAUUUUUUAUAUCAUAUUAGGAAUAUACAAAAGAAAUUUUCUUUUUAUGAACACCAAUUCACUUUAUUUCAUAAUAUAAAUAUAUUCUUAAUUAUAUUUAUAAAAAUGGGGAAAGAAUAGAAAAAUAAUUGGUGAAAUUAUUCAAAAAAAAAAGUUUAAGAGAUAAUGUCGAUAACAAAUUAAUGACCUUUUAAAUAUAUAAAUUUAAACGUAAAAUACCAAAUAUAAAUUUGUGCAAACUUCUAAAAUAAAAAAUCUAAACUUUUAAUUAUAUGGUUGUAAUAAAUGUUAUAAUCUUCAAAAAUUUUUAUCUAAAUAUUGCUAUUCAUGUUACAAAGAAAGUAAGUGAGCACAUUUUUUUAUUAUAAAAAAGUUGGCAUGGGAUCGUGGGAAAAAAAAAAAAAAAAAAACUGAAAAGUCAAAAGUUAAGUAUGAAAGCAUUCGCACCCAGUAAAACCUUUUUUUAGUAUACACCACCGACGCCACAGCUUUCUUCAUACGGUCAACGCCACAGCUUAAAAAUAAUUGCACAGACAGAUAGAAAGCAAACACAAAAUAACAAAGCUCCAUUAAAUAUUAAUGGCACAGGUGGGAAAUAUGAUCUUUUGGUUCAUUUUCUGCAUUCUUGGUCAACCCAUGUGUGUGCUAUUGUAUUAUCAUGACCUAAUGAAUCGGAAAGGCAAUGCUGAAUUAAGAUGAAACCGACCGACUUGUGCUUUAUAUAUAGGAUUUACCAGAGAUGGGUUUGCUUCCAACAUUUUGUGCAUGAGAGAAAAUGUUACAAGCAAUUUUGGCUAUGCGGGGACUAGUCCCCUGUUGUACUACUGGAUUUUAAUCGUUAAUCAUUAGAGUAAAACUGUAAAUGUAUAAUGCUCAAUCUGUGUAUGCUCUCUUUUCUAUGCAUCAGCAAUCCCCUUUCUGCCCUAUAUUUCAUUUUUGUCAUUUUAUUAUUAGUUUGCCGUCGGUUGUAAUAUUCAGGAAUUAUUUAAAGCUCCUUCCUUGUAUUCUCAAUUUUUCUUUUGAGGGACAUUUCCUACAAAGGAUCGGUUAUAACUUAUUCUCAUAGAUUGACUUCAUAGAUUUGUUUUCAACAAAUUAUUAUAUUAAUAUGUUAAUAUAUUUUUUUGAAAAUAAUAUUAA